Molecule: long non-coding RNA, 862 nt
Organism: Lytechinus variegatus (green sea urchin)
Lineage: Eukaryota; Metazoa; Echinodermata; Echinoidea; Temnopleuroida; Toxopneustidae
Exons: 2
Source: RefSeq, a predicted model, not a curated record
CUGAACCAAACCCGAAGUAUAACUCUUAACCUAACAUAAAACCCUAUUGCAACCCUCACCCUAUAUCAGUCACUGAAACAAAUGUUGUGAACUGUACCAAUUCUAGAUCCACUCUGAUAAAGAACAAUUAAUCUUGGUUUUACAAACUUUCUUGUGAAUUCAGUGUUUACUGCACAUACUUUCAGUUUUGAAUUUUGUGGUGACACUUGACAUCAUAAUCAUUUCAUUCUAAAUUGAUCUCUGACAAAAAAAUGCAUGUAAUUUGUUGGUCCACAUGAAAUCUAUCCUACGUACAGUACGGUAUGUCACAUGUACCGUAUACCCAGUUUUUGUGUGUCCGAUCAAUUUUAGAAAGUCAUUUGGACAAAUUUAUAAGCGAGGUUUCAACAAUUUUUAGUAAAAAAUGUUAGGAAAUAUUAUAAAGAACAAAAUAAAAGUAAACUUAGAAGAUGAUUACAAUGCAACAAGUAUUGAAUCCAUAUUUUUAAUUUUAGUGUAAUCCAAAGACAAAAAAGAUCAAGUGUCCGGACACCAGGCCCCCGGCCCCAUCCUACUUUCUUUCAACAACAACAGACACAUCAAUCAGUAUCAUGAAAUUACGGUAUAUCUACUUACGUGUUAAUGAGCAACUCCAGAAAACUAUCAUUCUUGCUUUCUCCGGAUGCGAUCAUUGCUAUCCGGAACUUGUCAAACAUUGCUGUUGACAAUGUCAUGCGACUCCUUUUUGCCUCGUAAUUCUCCUUCCUCUUCUUCGUUCCACCUGGCAUGGCAACGGCCCCGCGUACAUAUGUUCACAUGAACAAAAAAAAAAACCCAAUUAACUCUGACCAAAAUUAUCGAUAUUAAACGAACUGGACGAAAA